GAGUUGGAGGCGGUGGAAACAAUGUUUUUCUUUUAUAUAUAUACUUAUGCCAAGAGGUGGUUGGGUCGGUGAAAGAAAGAAAAAAAACAGAGGAAAAAAGGGAGUCUCAACGAGAGGGAGCUGUAGAUCGGAAAAAAAAGAAGAAGCUGAAGGAGAAGAACUAAAACAUUUUGUGUGAGCGAAAGGAAGAAGAAAAAGGGGAUGACAACAGAAAUUCCAAAAUUUUGAGAAGUUCUUGCUAUUUGUUGUAGGAGAGGGUUAAGAGUGAGGAAAUUCAGUAGGAAAUGAGGCACGAUAGGAGUUGGAAAUUUUGACAGCAGCUUGAAUUUGGGGAAAUUGACGAUGAUAGUAGCUGGAUUUUUGUAUUUUGAAGAAAAUUGGUUGAUGCUUUUAAGCGGAAUAAACUCGAGAUUCGUCUUGGUAAGUUGGAAGAAAUGGGCAUGGUUUGGCUGCAAAUAAGAUCAAAAUUGCUCAAAGGAAUUGGGAAAACAGUGUAGAGAUUUAUUUGAUGUUUUUUUUUUAACAAGGGACAUAUAAUUACUGUUUUUGGGCUAAUAUGGGGUUGAGAUUUACCAAUUCAUUGAGAGAAUUUGUUGAUUCAACAUGUGGACAUUGUUACGCUAAAAAAUAACUCAAGGUAGCAACAAAAGCAUGAAAACAAUAUUGAAAUAUCUUGGUGUCACAAGUCUGCAUUACGAUUAAAAUUCUGCUAUCAAAUUUUACUGUUGUUUUUGCUUUAUAGCUGUCGAUUUCCCAAUUUCUCACUUGGUAAAUCUUGUUACAACCUUGUAUUUCACAAAUCCUUUUCACUCUUAAUGUCUUGGGAUAGUUUCUUGUUGGGAUUGGAUUUCAAUUGUCUUAAAGUGGGGGAUAAGAAGAAGUUAAGUUUGUUAAGGCAACCCAUUAAGUGAAAAUUUCUUUUCCAUUGUAAAGGCUCAAAGCCCAAAUAAAAAAGGGCUUUCUUUCAUGUAUUUUUUGAUUGAAUAUUCUUCUUCUAGAAAUCCUAUAUUCCCGUUGCCAUAGUUUAAUAUUCCAGUAUGUAUGAGUGAAUUUUUUUUCUUUUUUGCAAGAGUUUUUCAUUACUGCUUCCCUUACAGGGAUGUUGAUCUCUCAUACUAAAUAAUAAAUUUAAGGUUUUCUCUUGCA
Molecule: long non-coding RNA, 1146 nt
Organism: Benincasa hispida (wax gourd)
Lineage: Eukaryota; Viridiplantae; Streptophyta; Magnoliopsida; Cucurbitales; Cucurbitaceae
Source: RefSeq, a predicted model, not a curated record